UCGAGGGGUAUAGGCUUUCGGGCCUAGAGACCGGCGCACGGGUGCGUAACGCGUAUGCAAUCUGCCUUGUACAAAGGGAUAGCCCAGAGAAAUUUGGAUUAAUACCUUAUAGUAUAUAGAUGUGGCAUCACAUUUAUAUUAAAGAUUUAUCGGUACAAGAUGAGCAUGCGUCCCAUUAGCUAGUUGGUAUGGUAACGGCAUACCAAGGCAAUGAUGGGUAGGGGUCCUGAGAGGGAGAUCCCCCACACUGGUACUGAGACACGGACCAGACUCCUACGGGAGGCAGCAGUGAGGAAUAUUGGACAAUGGGCGCAAGCCUGAUCCAGCCAUGCCGCGUGCAGGAUGAAGCAUCUAUGGUGUGUAAACUGCUUUUACACGGGAAGAAACCCUGGCUCGUGAGCCAGAUUGACGGUACCGUAGGAAUAAGGAUCGGCUAACUCCGUGCCAGCAGCCGCGGUAAUACGGAGGAUCCAAGCGUUAUCCGGAAUCAUUGGGUUUAAAGGGUCCGUAGGCGGUUUUAUAAGUCAGUGGUGAAAUCCGGUAGCUCAACUAUCGAACGGCCAUUGAUACUGUAGAACUUGAAUUAUUGUGAAGUAACUAGAAUAUGUAGUGUAGCGGUGAAAUGCUUAGAUAUUACAUGGAAUA
This 645-nucleotide ribosomal RNA is filed under the name uncultured Bacteroidota bacterium. RNAcentral's name for it is "bacterial SSU rRNA". It matches the Rfam family "Bacterial small subunit ribosomal RNA", at positions 62 to 708 of the family's 1533-position model. The record is from RNAcentral. Lineage: Bacteria; Pseudomonadati; Bacteroidota.